ACAGCAACUAUUACAGUAAACACCAUGUUAAUUUUACAUGAAAUGUGAGAAGCAGGAAAGAUCCUUACCAUAAGUGAUAACACUUUACUUAAAACAACUAUUAAUGAGUUAUGCUAAUCUUGUUAAAAUGGGUACUGGCCUGCCCUUUAAGCUGGUAGACCUAUCCAAAGGUUGCACUUUUUACAGAUCUUGAAUGAAUGUCGUCGCCUGACUGGUGUAUCACCUGAUGAAGCAUUACUGCGUGCACUGAGAGAAUUCAGUGAGCACAUCCUCAAUGCAGCGGCACAAAAGCACGCAGCACAGACUACCCUUUGCUCUCUGCAGGCAGACAUGUCAGUGGACAACAGGAUUGCAAGAAACUAUGCCAAAGGAGUGGGUGCCAUCAUGGUCCUUCCAUUUCUCGUCAACGAGCGAGGAGGUGAAAUAUUCACAGAAAUGACACCAGGGAAGGGAUUCACACAUCCGACACUGCUCUACACUGGCGAAAACCCCGUAUCUUCUGAGGCCAUGUGCGUGAAGUG
This is a long non-coding RNA of Rhipicephalus sanguineus (brown dog tick), 521 nucleotides long. RefSeq lists it as uncharacterized. The record is from RefSeq and is a predicted model, not a curated record. Lineage: Eukaryota; Metazoa; Arthropoda; Arachnida; Ixodida; Ixodidae. The transcript has 3 exons.